This 565-nucleotide long non-coding RNA is filed under the name Mytilus galloprovincialis (Mediterranean mussel). The record is from RNAcentral. Lineage: Eukaryota; Metazoa; Mollusca; Bivalvia; Mytilida; Mytilidae.
AUUUUUUUGUUUUUUGCUUAAACAAUUAACAAAAAACAAAACUGAUAGACAGCAACCAACUACCAUCAUUUUGUUUUGAUUUCAACUUCAAAAAAAAUGAUGAUGCUCUAUGCAGGGAUUCAGAUAAAAAUAAUAAGUUACUUGUUGAUAAAAAAAUUGUUGUUUCAUAAAAUAACUUUGUAUGUUUUACCAUAUUGCUAACAUAUUAGGAUUCUCACACAAGUUAUUUUGACCAUAUUGUUAACAUAUUAGGAUUCUCACACAAGUUAUUUUGACCAUAUUGUUAACAUAUUAGGAUUCUUACACAAGUUAUUUUUACCAUAUUGUUAACAUAUUAGGAUUCUCACACAAGUUAUUUUGACCAUAUUGUUAACAUAUUAGGAUUCUCACACAAGUGUUAUUUACCAUAUUGUUCACAUAUUAGGAUUCUCACACAAGUUAUUUUGACCAUAUUGUUAACAUAUUAGGAUUCUCACACAAGUUAUUUUUACCAUAUUGUUAACAUAUUUGGAUUUUGACCAUAUUGAGUGCAUUCUAUAAUUCCUGUUAUGUUAUGUAUUAUAAC